UUUUGUAAUUUUAUGGAAAAUGUGUUUAAAUGAAAUGAUUUUAUAAAUUGUUUUGAAAUUUAAUGAUGACUUGAAAAUGGAGUAAUUGGAGACUACUUGUUGUAUUGUAAACUAUGUUUUGAAUUGAAUGGCUUAUGAUAAUGUGGGCAUGAAUGGCUGGAUGGGUAUUUGUGUUGAAAAUGUAUAAACUGUUGUUUGCCUUGAUAGGCUGGAUAAUGAUAAAAUUUCCAUGUCAUGCUGUUGAAUUUUUAUU
RNAcentral lists this long non-coding RNA (253 nucleotides) under Theobroma cacao (cacao). RNAcentral's name for it is "long non-coding RNA (TCAC_LNC003215)". The record is from RNAcentral. Lineage: Eukaryota; Viridiplantae; Streptophyta; Magnoliopsida; Malvales; Malvaceae.